RNAcentral lists this long non-coding RNA (3238 nucleotides) under Takifugu rubripes (torafugu). RNAcentral describes it as "lncRNA (ENSTRUG00000030474.1)". The record is from RNAcentral. Lineage: Eukaryota; Metazoa; Chordata; Actinopteri; Tetraodontiformes; Tetraodontidae.
AUGAAAAGCUGGCGGCUCUUCAGGCUCAGGCUUCCCUCUACGAAGAACAGGGUUUCUCCUGCGGGGGGCGUGGUGGAGCCAUGCCUCAGCCACAGGUGGUGCCGGGGACUGGUGCACCUGCAGACUAUUGUAAUCAAGCCACCUAUUUAUGGACUGUUCUCACGGUUGGCCAGCGUUGGCGUGUUUUGUCGUUUUCGGAAAACCCCAGCUGUACCCUCCUGGACUUUCGUGAGACUGUUUCCUUCGUGGAUUACUUUUUGAACCCGUUAUCGGAUUAUUGUUUUUUCUUAAUCCUUCAUGGACUGCUUUUUGUCGUAAGUUUACAUUCCCUGUUUUGAUUAAGCACCGAGUCGUGGUCUCCACGCCUUUUUUGAGUUCUAUAAACUUUAAUAAAGCUUCUGGGAACGAUACGCCACUGUGUCCUGCCUGCUUUCGGGUCCUGAUACAACCACUCGUAACAGGAUCAAGUGUCGUAGUGUCUUAAAAGCCAGGGUGAAAAGGGGUUUUAAGAUGGCUUUUUAAAAGGUUUAGGGAAGGAGCCUCGUGUCUAAUGUCCAAUGGCAGACUGUUCCAUAAUUUAGGAGCAACCAUGGGAAAGACUCUCCCGUGUGUAGCAGUGUAGUAGGACUCAUCCAACGCAGUUGUGAGGCUCUAAAGUAUGAAUGUGUUGAUCCUUUGUUCUUUAGACUGAUUGCAGUGUGAUCCAGAGCACCUACACUCAUUGUUCUGGAAGGAAUAAGCCAAACACCCAACUAUCAUGUAUCCAGACCAAACACUGAACAUUCAAAUUUUGUCCAUCUUAAUGUGUUGACAACUAUUUCUUCACACAACACAUCCUCUCAUUUGCUUAUAAUGGCACCCCACCAGUUUGUGGCAAUAUUUGGAUAUUAAAAUACUAACAUUUCUGAUUUGGGUGAACAGACACUGUUUCCUCUGUACUUAAAAGCCCUCUUCUUGUACCCACAUUACCACUUUCUGGGUGGAGCUUGGCUUAUAAAAGAAGUACCCUAUUUUCACGACUAUAAGGCGCACCUAAAACACUGAGAUUUUCUCAAAUAUCGACGUGGCUUCAAGAAAUCCAGGCUUUUCGAUAGAGACAAGCCCAACAUCCAUCACUGUUUCCACCCCAACUUCAAACAAAACCAACCUGAACUUCUUCCCCUUAUGAGGAGAAGUGCUCAAAAAUGUAGAAUCAAGAUGAAGGAUUACAACAAGAAUCACCUGACAGAGAGGUGGAGGGACCAACGUAAUCUGUAUGCUCACGUUUCAUUUUAGGACGCAUCCUUCAAAUGCCCGACUGCCUUUUCGUCAUGUCUGACCGUGCUUUGUCAGCAAAGGAACCUAGAAUCCUGUGCUCUAAGUACCCCUACCUGUUAAUUUCUAUAGGUACCGUAUUGGCCCGAAUAUAAGACGGUGUUUUUUGCGUUGAAAUAAGACUGAAAAAGUGGGGGUCGUCUUACAUUCGCGGUCUAGACAUUAUACCCAUUCACAACGCUAGAUGGCGCCAGAUAUAUUUAAAGCGAAUGCUGAACUUAACGUCCCAGGCCAAAGCGAACCCCUGUCACGAAGAAGAAAAAUAAAAAUAGCGGUAGCACGAAGAAGAAAAGUAAAAAAAUAGCGGUAAGAAAGAAAAGAGAAGAAAAUAAGAGAAGAGAUAACAGGAAAUAGAGAAAUGUUGCGACAAUUUGGAGAAAAGUGGGUCGAAGAUAUAAUCAUUUGUUUCAGAUGUACUGUAAUUAUUUUCUGUAUAAAAAUUAGAUUUGGUGUUCAAAAAGUCUUUUUUCAAACUUGAGUCUUGAAAAAGAGGGGGUCGUCUUAUAAUCAGGGUCGUCUUAUAUUCGGGCCAAUACGGUAUAACAUUCACUUGUCAAACAAAGUCUUGGGGGUGAGAAGAACCUGUUGGAGGACUGCGGCUUACUUUUCUGAGACAGGGGCGCUCCUUUGAUGGUGUCCAUAUAAUUACCCUGCCGGGUGAGGUAGGGCCACUCCACCUCUCUCUCUGGCCCACGCUCUUUAUCGACGGGGGCAUUGCAAAGGAUGCGCUUCUUAGACUGCUUGUAGGCAAACUCUUCAUUGAUGGCUUUGGCAUAUCCAUCCUGGAUUCUUCUCGCACUCUUGCAAUGGUCUCUCAGAAGACCCUUCUGAAUAUCUUCGGUUUCGUCGAACACCUUCAUUCUGUGACUCAUUUCUUCUCUUUCCUGCUCUCCGCCUCUUUUGGUCUUGCUUUCCCUUUCAUCUGCCACCUUCUGAACGUACUCCUUGAACUGUCCAACUGCUGCCAGCCUCUUCCUCUCCUUUUCCUUUUCCUCAGCCUCUUUGGCAUUUUUCUGAGCGGUCACAGCCUCAAUGUACUGCUUCUCCUGUAGCCUGGCACGAGCGGCAGCCUUCUUCAGCUUGAUGUCUGCCAGCUGUUUGUAGACAAAAUAUUGUGCGGUGCCUGAAUCUUCUCCAUCUUCCUCAUCGCUGAAAUCUUCUUGCGUCUUCAAAUCGUGCCCAUUGAUCUUGUUCCUCACCUUCUUUUGCUUGGCCCAGAAUGCAGCCAGAGAGUUGGUGUGAAGCUUUUUCUGGAGUUCCACUCUCUCUUGCCACUUCUGACCCUCGUCACACUUGAAGUGCAUUUUCUUUUCAUUAAUCAUGUUUUCCAAGUCAUCCCUUUUCUUGCACUUCAGUUUGGAGGCAAUCAUUUCUGCAUUUUCUGCAUCCACUUUGGCCCUCGUCUGUUUCUGCUUUAACAUCCUCACAAAGUUCUUGUCUAAAUUAUGAUAAUGAUUGUGCGAAGGUGAAGGCGGCUCUAUGCACUUUUCCGUGAUGACUUCCUCAAGCACGAUUAGAUCUUUGGGGCGCUGAUCCCUCCAACUUGCCUUCACAGGAGGCAGAUGAAAAGCUGGCGGCUCUUCAGGCUCAGGCUUCCCUCUACGAAGAACAGGUUUAUUUUUGGCUUGAUUUUCUUCAACCACCUUGGGCUUUGUUUGAGCAGUAAAUCUCCUCUGUAAUCUUUCGUUAUUUUGGCGAUUUUGAGGUUUGGACUGCUCAAGAAGCGUCUGAAUAAGUGGCACUGGCUUCUUUGGCUGUUUCAAAGUUUCUUCAGUAAGCAUGAUCUUAUUUUUGCCUUGAGGCGGAGCGCCGAUGUAAAAACGUGGCCUAGAUUCACUGGACUUCUCCUUUUUCUUUUCGUUUAUGUGGUCGAUUAAACUACAUGUUAUAAGUUUUGCUUUGACCCGGAAUUCCAUGAUUGUCG